This is a long non-coding RNA of Zea mays, 2088 nucleotides long. RefSeq lists it as uncharacterized. The transcript has 3 exons. The record is from RefSeq and is a predicted model, not a curated record. Lineage: Eukaryota; Viridiplantae; Streptophyta; Magnoliopsida; Poales; Poaceae.
ACACCACUGGAGACUUCCAGGUGCUUCCUCCCCUCCCAAAAUUCUUCUCCUUGCGGUCUCCCUCGACGCCAAGCCCACAUCCGCCACUCUCCACGCUCGCACACGCCGCCUCCUCCUCCUCGUCACCUCUUCGCCGCAGUGGCUCCCGUCGUCCCACGCCUCCCUCGUCAUGUCGAAGAAGGCGACUCUCCAUCCCUUCCGAGUUCCGAGCUCAUGCUCCCCUCCGCCCCUGGCAUGGGUGAAGUCUAUGUGGGAACACUGAACCUGCAACCGAGAUCGUAGAGAUUCGACAAUAUCACAAGAGGAUCAUACUUCUACUCCAUGAAAACUGUAACCUACUAGAGCUGAAAGAAAUAUAGAGCCUAUAAGAAGGAAAUGUAUGAGAUGCAACCAAUGUACAGUAAGCAACUUACCAUAUUUCUUUAUGACAUUGUUCCAAGAAUUAAUAAGUAUUCCAGUGAGCGUCUCAAAAAUGGAAUCAAGAGGUGAGGAAAGACAUCGCCCCAGUUCUGUAGAGGAUGCCUUCCUUUUCCUCGGGUUUUGUUGUGUGUCCUGCUUACCAAGCAUUGAUAGCAAUUCGCCGAUUUGAUAGAUGAGAUGGUAACUAGCUGAAAACAGUAAUAAUUAAAACCCAAGAGCGAUUUUGCGACGCCCUGCUGUGAGCCGACCCUAGCAGUCAAGGCUUCGUAAAUCAGAUUUAUCUAUCAGGUAAAGUCACAGGAAAUGUUGUGGCAAAGGUAUGGCUUAAGAGAAAUCAUGUACCUAGAUGAUUUGUUGUCUAUACGAUUAGAUGGUGCUGUUCAUCUUCAAUUUUGUCAAAUUUGGCACCACUCCAGUCACCAACCAUACAUAAAAAAGUUUUAGUGAAGUCAAUGAAGCAAACAUUUUAAUAUUUCAUUCUAUCAAUAAAAGUGUAGUUUUGCUUCCGAUAAGACCUCCAUAAACAAUAAACACGGGUAAAGGAGAGUAUUGAUGGUUGGAAUGAGUGGUGGUAGCAGAAUGAUAUCUACAUACAUUGAUUAUAGGUACCAGCACCUCAUUUUUUUAUAAAAAAAUAUGUGCGAACUUGGAACUUUUUAAUAUGUGAGGAAGAUGGGUAGAUACUGUUGUUGUGGGCAGGGCAGGGCACCCGAGCAAAAGCAUAGAUGCGAAUGAGAUGAAUCUGGGUUAGCUCUCUUCCCCUAUUUAUUGGAGUUGGAGGGAUACACUGCUGCUAUGGUUUGGUCUGUGAUGUCGUCUCAUUAGAAAAACAUUUGCUUGGAUUGUAUCUCUUUUCCUUUCCUUUCUCAUUAGAGGACUUAAACUGAGCACAUGCUUGGCGUAUGCGUAAUGUAUGUGGCAAGCAAAAGCAAAUACUAUUCUAUUAAUGUGCUCCUACUAACCUGCUCUGCCCACAAUUUAUUAUGGGUAGAUACUGUUCCAAUUUAUUAUGCAUGUUGGCUUCUUGCAGGGAAUGAAUACAUCUUUCGUUUAUAUCAAUUGUGAUUCAGAUGUAUGUCAGUCUUAGUAAGACUGUUAAGUUGUGACAUGAAUGUGAAUUCGAUAAUGUAUUUCAUAACUUCAUCUACACUACAGAUGUAUUGUGUUAUUGUUCCCAUUCAUCAUUGAAAGUAGUUGUUAGAUCCAAAUUGAUUUCAGUUUUACGAAGUGAUGCUGCUACUGCUUCCUUAUAAGUGUUGCUCCCAUUUGAUUUGUCAGAUCACUGGCUUCUGCUACUUUCAAGUAGUGCUGCUGCUUUCGAGUGGUGCUGCUGCUUUCAAGUUGAAGUGAGUUGCUGUUGACUUCCACAACAAGCUGCCACUUUUAGUGGAAGUGAGUACAAAACAUGUUGUUGCUGCAUCUCGGGCAAAUAGCAAAGUUGUUUAUUCUGCUUUCAAACAGCAGUGCUGGUGCCAAAAGAAUGUUUACAAGAAAAUUCAAAACCAAACAAAAGUUGACAACAAACAGGAUGCCAUAACAAUCUAUUUGCUAGCACCAUCCAGAAUUUUAAAAAUUCAGUUUGUUGCCAUGAAACAGUUUGCUACCACCGUUCAGAAUUCAGCCAUGUUCAAGUUUACAACUGCGUUAUAAAGGAAAUUCAGUUUGCUA